UGUACCCAAUAAAGUGGUCAGUGAGUGUAUACACACACACAAACACACACGUUCUCACCUUGCAUUAGUCGUGAAGACUGUUGUUGAUUGUUAGCGAUGGGUACCGAACUCGGUACUUUUUAAGGUACUGACCAAAUUCCAUAAAAAAGACUGAGCACCGAUUCACGUCAUUUGAAACGGUGCAUCGUUUCAGUACCCGUCCUUCAUAACGAGAAGUUGCCUAGACAGCUGCGCAUGUUCAAGAGUGUUAUGUCGAUGGUCGCUGCGAGCGAGUUGUAAACAGAGCAGCAUGGUAGAAAGAAUGCACGCUAAAGCUUGGGUCCACUUCACUAAAUGUGAUGGGAAACUGGGUGAUGAUGAAACCAGCGACAACGAUCUAAGUGAGACAUCCUCAUCUUAAUCUGCUACAGUAGGUAAAUAAAAUGUUUAAGAUAAUGUUAGCUUGAUUUGGUGUGUUCACUUUCUCCUCGGAACUCCGAAUUUCCGAAUGGAAAAACAUGAACUCGCUCUAAAGUUUGGCUUCACUUUACUAAACGCGACGGGUGAUUGGGUGAAGAAGAAACCAGUGACAACGAUCUAAGUGUGAUGCAUCAUUGUUUUAAUCAGCUCCAGCAGCUAAAUAAACUGUUUAAGAUAACGCUAGCUUGAUAAAUUAGCUUCCAUUGCCACCGUUGUUAUCAGCCCAUGGUGCGUUCGCUUUCUCCUCGGAAAUUCUAACUUCCCAGUAGGAAAAAUCAAAAGAAAAAGGACGGCAAAAGGAAUGAAGAUACACCGUAAAUUUGGUUCACAGUAAAGAUGUUUGCUUCAGUUUAAUUAUCAGUGUCAUGUUCCUGGGCAGAGGUGAGUCACACCUUCUCCUCUCACCAGACUCUGAGCUAAUUCUCCACAGGUGAGGAGCAGGGGGAGCGGCAGCUGCAGGAGAUUUCCCAAUCAGGGACGCGGGUUCAAAAGGAGGAUGGAGACACAUCACUUUGCCGGAUGAUUGCACCAGUUUAGGAUCAUCUCAUCAUCUACUCACCCUCGCUGUCUUCGUUUUCUGGAACAUACUCAUCACGUCCCAUCCUCCUCCGCCAUUCCUGUUUGGCUUUCCCUCUGCUACCUCACCCCUCCUGGAUCUCUCAUCCUCUGCCCAGCGUCCUCCCCGGCUUCCCCUCCUCUACUGAUUAACCUGAGCACCUCAGAGACUCGAGCCGUAUUGCUCAUCCCACAGGACUUCCCUGUGCGGUUUCAGUUCCCGUUUUUAUAAUAAAGACAUUUUACUUUA
Nothobranchius furzeri (turquoise killifish) is the source of this 1264-nucleotide non-coding RNA. The record is from RefSeq and is a predicted model, not a curated record. Lineage: Eukaryota; Metazoa; Chordata; Actinopteri; Cyprinodontiformes; Nothobranchiidae.